UCGGGAAUUUUGGGCAAUGGGGGAAACCCUGAUCCAGCGACGCCGCGUGUGUGAAGAAGGCCUGCGGGUUGUAAAGCACUUUCGGUGGGAACGAAAUAUGCCGGGCUAAUACCCCGGUAGGCUGACGUUACUCAAUGAAGAAGCACCGGCUAACUCUGUGCCAGCAGCCGCGGUAAUACGUAGGGUGCGAGCGUUAAUCGGAAUUACUGGGCGUAAAGCGUGCGCAGGCGGUUUGGUAAGACAGAUGUGAAAUCCCCGGGCUUAACCUGGGAACUGCAUUUGUGACUGCCAGACUAGAGUGUAGCAGAGGGGGGUAGAAUUCCACGUGUAGCAGUGAAAUGCGUAGAUAUGUGGAGGAAUACCGAUGGCGAAGGCAGCCCCCUGGGCUAACACUGACGCUGAGGUACGAAAGCUAGGGGAGCGAACGGGAUUAGAUACCCUUGUAGUCCCUGAGCGGGCUGGCAAGGCGCAU
Molecule: ribosomal RNA, 472 nt
Filed under: uncultured bacterium
Lineage: Bacteria
Description: bacterial SSU rRNA
Rfam family: Bacterial small subunit ribosomal RNA
Source: RNAcentral